Molecule: long non-coding RNA, 289 nt
Organism: Haliaeetus leucocephalus (bald eagle)
Lineage: Eukaryota; Metazoa; Chordata; Aves; Accipitriformes; Accipitridae
Exons: 3
Source: RefSeq, a predicted model, not a curated record
CAGUAAUUUAAAUGUGUCGAGGUCAUCGGGGCUGAGCUCAGGAGGUGGCUUCAGCUGUUGAGGGUGAAACACAAGCAGCGACUGCAGAAGUUUCUUUGCUCAACAUCUCCUUUCCACGCUUAGCCUGGGGGUUGCCCUAUCUCUCAGGACAUCCUGGUUGCUCUUCUACAUUCUUUUUGAGCCAGAGAUUCAAAGAGGGCCGACUCGAUGUGCUGCUGUUCCCUCACUCGCUGCUCCGCCAGCUCCUUGUUUAACUGGUCGAUGCGACGAUGGGCGUGUGCAAUGAGAG